This 253-nucleotide ribosomal RNA is filed under the name uncultured bacterium. Its description in RNAcentral is "partial 16S ribosomal RNA". It matches the Rfam family "Bacterial small subunit ribosomal RNA", at positions 524 to 776 of the family's 1533-position model. The record is from RNAcentral.
GACAUAGGUCGCAAACGUUAUCCGGAAUUAUUGGGCGUAAAGGAUGCGUAGAUGGUUCAGUAAGUUGCUGGUGGGAAAUCGAGGCCCAACCUCGUGGAAGUCAGUAAUACUGCUGAACUUGAGUGCAGGAGAGGUUAACGGAACUUUAUGUGGAGCGGUAAAAUGCAUAGAUAUAUGAAAGAACACCGGUGGCGAAAGCGUUCUGCUAGACCUGUACUGACACUGAGGGACGAAAGCUAGGGGAGCGAAUGGG